AAGAGAACACGGUGAGAAAGAAGAGAGUAACCAAAACCUAGAGCACUAUUCACUUUCAUCUUGUUUUGCUUGUAACUUUCGAUCUGGAGCACUGAUUGACGAGUCGUUUGCGGCCACGCGUAGCUCUUCUCAUCCUCUUCAAUUUUAUCCAAUAUUUGUGGGAUGCUCUAACAUGAAUUUCUAGUGAGUUCCAUCUAUAUUUCGUGUCGGUUAAGAGAAUUGUUGGGGCUGAAUUUGGUGUGGAGUGGAAUUUGAUUGGCAAAUUUGGGUGGCGGACCUUGGAGAUUGAGCGAGGAAAGGCUUCAAGAGUUUGAACCGCUGACAUUCAAAGUACGGGUUUGAGUUUCGAGUAGACAUUGUGUAAAGUUAUGUGAAUGCCUAGGUUAGUUGACCUUAGGAUAGGUGUGGAUUGAAAUUGGUUGUUGUUAUGGAUAGUGAAUGGCUAUAUGUAUGUGUGUAUUGAUUAAGAAUU
Molecule: long non-coding RNA, 472 nt
Organism: Arachis stenosperma
Lineage: Eukaryota; Viridiplantae; Streptophyta; Magnoliopsida; Fabales; Fabaceae
Exons: 3
Source: RefSeq, a predicted model, not a curated record